RNAcentral lists this long non-coding RNA (903 nucleotides) under Helianthus annuus (common sunflower). RNAcentral describes it as "sRNA HanXRQr2_Chr17g0816701". The record is from RNAcentral. Lineage: Eukaryota; Viridiplantae; Streptophyta; Magnoliopsida; Asterales; Asteraceae.
GACCGCAGUUGACCUGAUGUUGACCGGUGUUGACCACAGUUGACCAAAGUUGUCACGAACCAAAAUCUGGCCUGUCGAACCGCACCCGAACCGUGGCUGACCGAUUGACUCGAACUGAAUCUCAGUUGACCGAGUUAACUGAGUUGACUCGGUUUGACCGUGUUGACCGAGUUGGCUCGGUUUGACCGAGUCAACCAAACCGAGCUGAGUUGACCCGCACCCGAAACUGUAAAGUGACUCAAGCCGAAGCACCCAGAACCUGCUGGAUUUGACUCGUAACUGAGUUGCUGACUAUUUGAUCCAACCGGACCAAACCGCCGGCGAUCACCAUCACUUCCGUCAACCCUGAUGCAAACCCCCCCCCCUCAUCGUCACUUUUAUGAAACGUGCCGUAACUUGACUGAAAGAAUGCAGAACCAUAAGAAUCUGAGAAAAAUUUAGUAGAGAGAAGUGAGGUUGAAAGAUUUACCGAUUAUUACAGCUUAUGUCAAAAUCCUCGUCAUCCUUAUCACCAUAAGCACCAUCGCCUGUGCCUUCGCCGCCGCCGCCGUGAGCGGCGGCGCUACCGCCGGUCCACCACCAAGCUCACCACUGCCUCCGACCACCGGGACUCCGUCUUAUCUCUCUCUGCUCCCGUUUUCUGGUCUCGCCGCCGCACACGGCGGCUCUCUUGAUUACCGAGGGGUGUGAGUGUAUGGGGGUGGGUGUGUCGCAUCGGAGGAGGGGCACCGGUGGCUUGAGUUGCGCCGACACCGGCUAGUCGCAGGUGAAAUGAGGGAUUCAGGUGUGAAGGUGGGUGUCUGGUUGUGGUUUUGAAAUCGAAGAAGAAGGGGAAGUAGGGAGGGGAGUCUGAUGGCGUGCGUGUUUGGUUUUCUCAAAUGGGUUGGGCCCAGGGCCCGUUAA